This 208-nucleotide unclassified non-coding RNA is filed under the name Hevea brasiliensis (rubber tree). Lineage: Eukaryota; Viridiplantae; Streptophyta; Magnoliopsida; Malpighiales; Euphorbiaceae. The record is from RNAcentral.
UGGUUAGGGAAUUAGAUUUUAUAUAUUGUAAUUAAGAAUUUGUUGUUAUAAUAAAGAAUUGGUGUAAUUAAAUAAGUUAAUAAAUAUUUAAAAAAGAUGUAUGUUGAGGUAUUAGAAUGUAAGUUUUAUGAAAUGAAAAAUAAAUUUUUUUGGAGAAUAGAUAUAUAGAUAUUAUAUUGUUUUUAUUUUAUGGAUGAGGAAAUUGAGG